UCCCUAGUGGCUCAGAUGGUAAAGAAUCCGCCUGCAAUGCAGGAGACCCAGGUUCGAUCCCUGGGUUGGGAA
RNAcentral lists this transfer RNA (72 nucleotides) under Capra hircus (goat). It matches the Rfam family "tRNA". Rfam says of the family: Transfer RNA (tRNA) molecules are approximately 80 nucleotides in length. Their secondary structure includes four short double-helical elements and three loops (D, anti-codon, and T loops). Further hydrogen bonds mediate the characteristic L-shaped molecular structure. tRNAs have two regions of fundamental functional importance: the anti-codon, which is responsible for specific mRNA codon recognition, and the 3' end, to which the tRNAs corresponding amino acid is attached (by aminoacyl-tRNA synthetases). tRNAs cope with the degeneracy of the genetic code in two manners: having more than one tRNA (with a specific anti-codon) for a particular amino acid; and 'wobble' base-pairing, i.e. permitting non-standard base-pairing at the 3rd anti-codon position. The record is from Rfam by way of RNAcentral. Lineage: Eukaryota; Metazoa; Chordata; Mammalia; Artiodactyla; Bovidae. RNAcentral also lists the same sequence under 1 other name.